Molecule: ribosomal RNA, 468 nt
Filed under: uncultured bacterium
Lineage: Bacteria
Description: partial 16S ribosomal RNA
Rfam family: Bacterial small subunit ribosomal RNA
Source: RNAcentral
GACGAACGCUGGCGGCGUGCUUAACACAUGCAAGUCGAACGGAAAGGCCCUGCUUUUGUGGGGUGCUCGAGUGGCGAACGGGUGAGUAACACGUGAGUAACCUGCCCUUGACUUUGGGAUAACUUCAGGAAACUGGGGCUAAUACCGGAUAGCAGCUCCUGCUGCAUGGUGGGGGUUGGAAAGUUUCGGCGGUUGGGGAUGGACUCGCGGCUUAUGAGCUUGUUGGUGGGGUAGUGGCUUACCAAGGCUUUGACGGGUAGCCGGCAUGAGAGGGUGACCGGGCACAAUGGGACUGAGAGACGCACCAGACGGCAACGGGAGGCAGCAGUGGGGAAUAUUGCACAAUGGGCGGAAGCCUGAUGCAGAAACGCCGCGUGCGGGAUGACGGCCUUCGGGUGGUAAACCGCUUUCGCCUGUGACGAAGCGGGAGUGACGGUAAUGGGUAAAGAAGCACCGGCUAACUACGUG